Molecule: ribosomal RNA, 255 nt
Filed under: uncultured bacterium
Lineage: Bacteria
Description: partial 16S ribosomal RNA
Rfam family: Bacterial small subunit ribosomal RNA
Source: RNAcentral
UACGUAGGGUGCGAGCGUUGUCCGGAAUUAUUGGGCGUAAAGAGCUCGUAGGCGGUGUGUCACGUCGUUCGUGAAAACCUGCAGCUUAACUGUGGGCGUGCGGUCGAUACGGGCAUCACUGGAGUUCGGCAGGGGAGACUGGAAUUCCUGGUGUGAGCGGUGAAAUGCGCAGAUAUCAGGAGGAACACCGGUGGCGAAGGCGGGUCUCUGGGCCGGUACUGACGCUGAGACGCGAAAGCGUGGGGAGCGAACAGG